Molecule: long non-coding RNA, 417 nt
Organism: Pyrus x bretschneideri (Chinese white pear)
Lineage: Eukaryota; Viridiplantae; Streptophyta; Magnoliopsida; Rosales; Rosaceae
Exons: 2
Source: RefSeq, a predicted model, not a curated record
UACAAUCACUCUCAUCUCACUCUAGUCUCACUCACUUUUUAUCCCUUUCUCCUUCCCGUGAGCGAUCCACUCACUUCCCGAUGCUCACAUAAUCAUCAUCACCAUUUCCAGUACUCUCUUUUUCUCUUGUCGUUGCGAGGUUUGAUGGAGCCCAGGAACCCCGGCACACGCGAAACCACCCCAACCCAUUUUAUGUUCACCACCGGCCGUUCUAUGGUGAACCCAAGGAUUUAGGAACGAGGAUUGGGACCUGAGCUACGAGGCAUUUCCCUAUUAGUGACAUUGUGCUAUAUUCUCUCUGCUAUGGCAUCUAUUGUAAUAGCACUUCUCUAUCCUAAUUUCCGCUUGUAAUUUGUAUUAGAUGUAUGCUCUAAACAUGUCAUGCACUAUCAUAAUAUUUAAUUGUUGUCAGUUGCA